This 199-nucleotide long non-coding RNA is filed under the name Lathyrus oleraceus (garden pea). RNAcentral describes it as "Pisum sativum (pea) long non-coding RNA (PSAT_LNC024036)". Lineage: Eukaryota; Viridiplantae; Streptophyta; Magnoliopsida; Fabales; Fabaceae. The record is from RNAcentral.
UUUCAUGAAUUUAGCAUAAGAGGGCAUUUGCUCAAGUACCUCCAAGAAUGGAAUGUUGAUUUCAAGCUUUUUUAACAUCUCCAAGAAUUUCUCGAAGUUCUUCUCAUGUUUCUCUUUCUUCUUAUUUCUUGUUGGGAAAGGGAGUUUGACAACCGGCUUUGAUUCACUAACUUUUUCUUUAACCACGGGUUCAGGUACC